Molecule: transfer RNA, 73 nt
Organism: Salimicrobium jeotgali
Lineage: Bacteria; Bacillati; Bacillota; Bacilli; Caryophanales; Bacillaceae
Rfam family: tRNA
About the family: Transfer RNA (tRNA) molecules are approximately 80 nucleotides in length. Their secondary structure includes four short double-helical elements and three loops (D, anti-codon, and T loops). Further hydrogen bonds mediate the characteristic L-shaped molecular structure. tRNAs have two regions of fundamental functional importance: the anti-codon, which is responsible for specific mRNA codon recognition, and the 3' end, to which the tRNAs corresponding amino acid is attached (by aminoacyl-tRNA synthetases). tRNAs cope with the degeneracy of the genetic code in two manners: having more than one tRNA (with a specific anti-codon) for a particular amino acid; and 'wobble' base-pairing, i.e. permitting non-standard base-pairing at the 3rd anti-codon position.
Source: Rfam
GCCGGCCUAGCUCAAUUGGUAGAGCAACUGAUUUGUAAUCAGUAGGUUGGGGGUUCAAGUCCUCUGGCCGGCA